Molecule: long non-coding RNA, 4791 nt
Organism: Lutra lutra (Eurasian river otter)
Lineage: Eukaryota; Metazoa; Chordata; Mammalia; Carnivora; Mustelidae
Exons: 3
Source: RefSeq, a predicted model, not a curated record
CCUGCAGGGAGAGGGGCCAGAGGACUUGAGCCCCGGGGCGAGGGCCGCCGCCUGCCCACACGCUGCGGCGUGGAACUCGCGCCCGGACCACAGCACGUGACCAAGAGAGGCCAUGGUGCUGGCAGCCCGGACAGAGGCCCGCUGGGGUAGCGACGCCCGUUCUGAAGAGAACUGCGGGUAGGGGUGCCCGGCCGUUCGGCCGUGUGGCUGUGCGCGUCCCAGUGUGGACACUCGAGUGGGGCCGUGCUGGCAGGUGGGCCGAUGGGAGGCCCGAGUGGGGUAUGUGCUCCUGCCCUUGAGAGCCGCUGGUGGGCGGGCGGGCGCCGCCGCAGUGAGGCUCCGGGGCGGGGGUCACCCCCCCACGUGCUCCCAGGAGCCUGUGCUUGGGUCCAGGAAUGUCCCAGCACUCGUGCCAGGAGAGGAGCACGACGCCUGCCUCAGGGCAGAUGGGGACUCCGCACCCCCAACUCAUCAGGGGUCGGGGUGUCUUGGGACAGAGGGCACUUGAGUCCCACCCCAUCGGCACCCCAAAACCUGCGUCACGCACUGGGCUGCCCACCGAGUCGGGGCCCAUCCCUGCCCUCAGGGUGCGGGCUGUCCAGGGGGGGCCAGAGGCAGUGCGAGAGGCGCCCCACACCCACCUGCAUAGGCCGUGCCGGGCCUUUGAGGGGCUGCGGGGGCAGCAGUCCAGCCCAGGGAGGGGUCCCCCGGGGGGGCCUGAGGGGACUGGCCCCGGAAGCAGACAGGAGGUGGGUAGAGGGUGUCCGAGGGCGCAUCCCGAGGCGCCCCUGCGGCGGCACCGGCGUUGUCAGCUCACCCCAAGCUGGGCCCUCGCAGGGCUGCCCCGGGCCUCGGAGGCACGGGGUUGGCUACCCCCAGAGCGAGGGGCUGGGGCCCUAGGGGCUCCUCACCUCCAGUCAGGGCCAUCCCGCGUGCAGAACAGACCACAGGCGGGCCGCAAGCUGGUGCGUCUGCUGGGGCCGGCUGCUCCUGUCCUCUGGUUUCCCCACUGCCGGGGCUGCCAGCGCCCUGUGGCCAGCCCAGCCCAGCCCUGCUGGCCCGAUGCCAUUAACCCUCCCGAGCCCGGCACCCAGUGUCAGCCCCAAAUGCCCAGGAAACGGAUGGCACAGGGGAGAGGCUGGGGGGGCUGCCUUCACACCAAAGCCACCUUCAGGUUUGGCUGGCCCUCUCCCCCUGGGCAGGGGCCCCUCAGGCAGCUGUGGGGGACCUCCCACUCAGCGGACGGCCACGUGGGAGUUAAGUGGGAGAUGGGCCUGGCACGCUGACCACCCCCCUCCUUCCCCCUGCCCAUUUCCUAACAGCCUGGGUGGGGUCUUCAUCAGGCCUCCCUGGGGCCCUGCCCAGCCUCGGCUUCUGGGACCUCAGGGUCAGCUGGUGUCUGGUCACCCCUCCUCCCCCCAUCCUCUUCUAGGAACCCAGGGCAGGGUCCCCGGCCCCCUUGUGUUUGCUUUCCCUAGCACUGCCCUCUCUGGAAGAGUGGAGGGAGGCCUGGCCUUGGGCGCCGGGUCUUGUGGCUGCAGGACCAGCCUCCACCUGCUUUGGGACCCAGGCUGUCCUCCAGAGCUCCUGUGGGGCCCUGACCAGCCCGCUCUGCACAGGAUGGCUGCCCAGAGCCUGGCCUGAGAUCAGUCCCAGGUCAGGCCAGGAAGAAGGUUGACAGCCAGCACAUCCCCUUGCUGCUCAAGCAGGGGGAGCCCUGCGCCCUCUUGUCCACCCAACCUGGGCACAGCGGGCACAGCCAGGGGAGGGGUCCUUGGCAGAGACCGACAGAUGAGGGCGCAGCCAGGCUCCCCUCGAGAGGAGGGGCAGGGCUCUGGGAGCCUUGGGAGACUCUCCAGGGUACCUCCUGGCCAGGGGGCAGGUCCGCAGCCCCGCAGAGAGGGCCAGGGGGACCCGCUGCACGCUUCUCCAUUCCCCCACUCCUGCCUCACCCCUGCGUGGCCCACAGCUCCCGGUGCUGGGCGUGGGGACGGCUUUAUCUCUCCCUUUAUUGAGCUUUGAUUGAUUUCCAGGUCGGUUCUCAGCCUCUGUUCUGAGAAAUUAUAGAUCCGCCGGAGAACGUGCACGCCCAGAAAUUGACCGGGUAAACACGCGUUACCGCAGCCCCCGGUGCCGACUCAGCACGUUCCCUCGAGCCCUGCGCAGGGCCAGGGCCGGGAGGGAGGGUGUGCGGAGGGAAGGGCUCUUUCUGUAAACCCGGCUGGGCCCGCAUGGCUGCCCCCAUAGCAACACCCGCACUCCGCCCCCGGGUCCCUCCCUGUCCUGGCCACCGAGGCUCUCCCCGAGGCGUCUGGUUUCAUGUGCUUCUGAUCAUCGUGAAUGGGGGUCCCACACGAGCCCUGGGCCUGGCUUCCGUAUGACACGGGACUCGGGCAGCUCGGACACACAGCCGUCCCCACAUCCUCGCUCACCCACCUGCUGCCCGCGGGGCCCUGUGCCGCAGGCCUGUGGGUCCGCUGUGGACUUGCUGGGACCCAGGUGCGUGUCUUCUUGGCAGGUGAGGCUGGACUUCUGAGCGGUUAGCGGGUCCCCACCUCCUGGCGCCCAGGGGUGCCCUGCCCAGCCCAGCGCCAUCCUGUCUGUUCCCAAGCCCCGAAGGUGAGUGGCUGCUGGCUUUCGUUGCAUGCUUCUCAGACGCCAGUGGGACUGCAGCCCCUGAGGCUCGUCAGCGGGGGACUGUCCUGUCCCGUGAAGGGCAUGUAUGUCUCUUGCUGAUUUCUGGUGAUGGCUCAGUCCGAUCUGUGUUCUUAAAGUCAGUCUGGAUGCACAUCCUUCCUGGGGGGGUGCGUGUGGGCAGUGUGUCCUUCCGUCCUGGGGCUCACCUGGCCGCGCUCUCCGUCGUUUUUGGCAAGAGUUCGUUGGAUCGCCGUUUCCCGAGGCACUCGGCGCCGAGCAGGAGUCCUCAGAACGUGGGGGUUUCUGGGCCACUCUCGCACGUGGACUUUAAUGUGACGCUCUCGAAGCGCCAUGGGGCACGUCGGGGGCUGUGCCCCCCAGCCUCAAGGUGGACAACGUAUUGGUCCCUCGCGGAGACGGCUCCCCCCAAGAGCAGCUUGGCUCCGCGGCCGGGGCCCCGUGUGCGCUCUUCUAGACGGAGCGAGCGGCUCGCCCGCGUCUGGGCCGGAACCAGAGCCCGCGAGAGGCGGGCUGCGCUGAGGUCUGUGCGGAAGGGACCCCCGCACGCCCCACGUCAUCCCCCGCUCUAGCUCUGACCUGGGGUCGCUCAGCACUGCUGCGCGUUUCUGUUCCGAUCGCCCGUGAGGCGUGUCGUUUUCCCGACUGGCCGCUACUUUUUGAUACGUUUCCCUCCUUGGUCUGCCUCAGUUUUGCCGUCUGGGCUUUGAGCUCCCGAAAGGUGCUGCGGAGUGCGACACCCGCCCGGACAAGUCCUCCCCUGCGGCGGCCCAGUCAGCGCGGCGGGGCCUGCCCGCUGGCGUGUCUGCCCGUGGCCGGCCAGCGGGCUUUCUGCGAGCACGUGCAGUGCUGUGGCCCCCCGGGGGGGGGGGUGACAGGGAGGGGCCGCCACUAGCUCCUUCCACCCGCUGAGCUCACCGCCAUAGGGGCGCUUCUGUCCGGGGCUUCCAGGACCUUGUCACGAGCCUUCAGCUACGGCUCUCGGCGCGGACGUGGGUUUCCGGCCUCUUGGGCACAUUCUUCCGGGGGAGCUGCUGGCUCAUGCGUGUUUAGGUGUGACAGUUACAAGUCCCCCCUGCACCCGGCAUGGGGCUCAAGCCCAUCCCCCCCGAGCUGCAGAGCCGCAGGGGCUGAGCCGGCUGCCUGCGUCCCACGGCACACUCCGCAGUGUGAGCGCGCCCUGCGCAUCCGUCCUCGCCUGGCGCCCCGGCUCUCAGCGCCGCCUUCCCGGGGACGCGCUCUCCAAGGCGGGCCGGCUUUUCCCUUGUCUCCUGAGUUCUGAGAGUGGAUUAUCAGGUAUAAUAUUUGGGAGCAUUUUUCCCAGUCUGUGGCUCGGCCGUUUUUUUAAAAAUGGGGCACGUGGGUGGCUCCGUCAGUGAAGCGUCAGACGUUUGAUGCCACCUCGGGUCUCCAUCUCUGGGUUGGGAGUUCAAGCCCGGCCUUGGCCUCCGCACUGGCUAUAGGGCCUACUUCAAGAAAAAAAAAAGGCGAACUGCCUCCUAGAAUGCAGAGGUUGGUUUUGACAAGCUGCCCCGCUGGUUUGGCUUUUCUCUGGCUCAGGCUUUCCACGUGCCUCACACCAGAUGACGGCGAUCUUCCAGUGGAGGGGUGUGGGGCGCCUUCCCGUUGACUUAGAUCUUCACGAAUCUUGAGCUGUUUUCCAUGCGGUACUUUCGGAGGAUCUUUAGUUUGGUGCCGCCGUGGACGGGACCCUCUUCAUUCCGUGAACAGUUGUUCCCAGCACGUGGAAACGGAGUGGAUUUUCUUUUUCCUAAUCUGGUGUCCCAGGACCUGGCAGAAUGAACUUGCCAGCGCUGCGUUUGUAGGUGUCUCUGGGUCUCUAGGAUUAGCUCCUUGGGGGGUCAUCUCAUCGGUGGGGGGUUGCCUCAUCGGUGAGUAAGGAUGUUUCUCCUUUUUCCUUCCCGGCCUGCAGCCGUUUCCGCGGCUUCCUGGUGCCCCACGGCGCGGCCAGCACCAGGCCAAGACCGGCCGCACCUUGCUCCUGGUUUUAGAGUUUCUUAACUAGAAGCCUCUCCUCCUGCUGUGCAGGUGCGUGUCCCGCACACGGUGCUUUCCACGUCCACUUUCUCUGUCCUGCUUCACGCACGGGCAGGUCCUCCCGCAGGGGCCGCGCUG